Loxodonta africana (African savanna elephant) is the source of this 2105-nucleotide long non-coding RNA. RefSeq lists it as uncharacterized. Lineage: Eukaryota; Metazoa; Chordata; Mammalia; Proboscidea; Elephantidae. The transcript is spliced from 3 exons. The record is from RefSeq and is a predicted model, not a curated record.
UUCAGCUGUUCUGUGGCCUCAGCGGUGGCCAGGGCUGGAUCUGCACGGGGUUCCUCUCCAAGCAUUUGCUAACCCCCUCCAGCCUCCUGCUAGGUAAAGCCACAGGAACAUGAUCCACCCUUCACGCCCACACACACAUACACACACGUGCCGUGUGAGUCACCUACCCCAUACUUGCCUGUUCACUCUGUUUUCUUACUGUCUGCGGAGCAAUGAAUUACUUAAUGUGGCCCUUCUAGCCAUGGCCUUUGUGACUCACACAUAAUGACUGGGUGGGAGUAUGCAAAUAAAAUAUGUGGGACCUGUGACAGUUGGGGUUGUGUGUCAACUUGGCUAGGCCAUGAUUCCCAUUAUCUUGUGGUUGUCCUCCAUUUUGUGUGUUGUGGAUCCUGACCUCUACAUGUUGAUGAAGCAGGAUUGGUGUGGGGUGUGCCCUGGGUCACAGCCUUGCAGGAGAGCAUGAUUCAAGUUCCACCCUUACUCAAGUUACGCCCCUCCCUGGGGUGUGGCCCGCAUCUAAGGUAUAUGUGUGGAUACCCUGGCAGGGCUCUCUCUCUCUCUCUGCAUCUGGAUCCUGUGUCCAGUUCGUGAUCCUCUAACUUCCAGUUCUUGGGACUUGAGCCGGAGGCCUGCCCUCUGACCUGCUGAUUCUGGGACUCACCAGCCUCCGCAGCCCUGUGGGCUGGCAGCCUAUCGUCUGGCCUGAUUCACCAGCUUCCGCAGCCUCGUGAGCCAGCAGCCUGUGGUCUGAAAUGCUGGUUUGGGUCUGCCCCUACAGCCAUGUGGGUCAGGAGAAGCCUAUGCCCGACUCAUGGAUUUGGAAUUUGUCAACCUCCACAACUGCGCUGUUCUGAGGCCCAGUGGGCUGAGGUGCCUCUGUGUGAUGGUCUGCUCUGGGGGCGGUGAAGAAGCCUGGACUCUUGUGCCAGCUCCACUGGGUCCACUGAAGACCUCAGUCUUUCUGGAACAAGGCUGGGUAGAGAAAGAAGCCAAGAGCCUGCCUGGUUUGGGGGAAGGGGCACCUUCCGCCCUAAGCCACUACCACACACCUGAGGCCCAAUUACUGCAGAAAGAGAGAGCUGGGCAAUGAUUUGGGCAGCCCUACGCAAGGAUCCGUGUGUUCCUGCUUUCAAUUCUUUGGGGUAUAUGCCCAGGAGGGGAAUUGCUGGGUCACAUGGUGGAUCCACUGGGCAUACCUUCUGGAGUCAUGGCUUUGAACAGGCACAAGUUAAGAAGUCCUGGGCUGGAGGGAUGUCUGUGGGGGCUGGACCUGAGCAUGGGGUCAAGGGGAUACAAAGAUAGUCCACAGAUCUGCCAUGUCCAGCAAGCAAGGGCAAGUGACAGUGUGUGUGUGUGUGUGUGUGCGUGUGUGUGUGUGUGUGUGUGUGUAGGUCUGUCUGUGAGCAUGUGAGAAACAAGGGCACCCAGACAUGCAUUUGUCAGUCUGGGUGUGGAGUAUAAGUGUGCCUCACGCGGCCUGCAGCCCAUGUGUGCUGUGUGUGUGUCUCAGUGGCUGGGUGGGCAACGUGCCCACAUGUGGGUGUGUCUGUGAACCUGUGACUGAGCAUGUGUGGUCCGUAGGAGUCCGGGUGACCGUGAUGGCAUGCGUGUGGAUGUAUGCACGCAUGGACAGGGGAGCACGGCUGGUAGUCCUGGAGCUACCUGACAACCUGGAACUGAGCAGAAGGAAAAAGUGUAGGUGAGACUCAGAAUUUUAUUACUUCCCUGAGGGAAACCAUCUCCCAGGCCCUGCUUCCAGGCUCCACAGCUGUCCUGAUCCCUCAAGCUUCACCUUCCCUGCCAGGGAACGCCUGUGGGGCCACCGGGCUUAGCCUCUCCAUGCCUCAGUUUCCCCAUUUGAAAUGAGGGUAUUCAGUGUGUGGCUGUGAGGGUUAUAUUAGUUCACAUAAAGGAAGCAUUUAAAACAGCCCUUGGCACCUGGGUUAUCCUGGUGGCUCAGUGGUUAAGUGCUACGGCUGCUAACCAAAAGGUCAGCAGUUCAAAUCCACCAGGCACUCCUUGGAAACUCUAUGGGGCAGUUCUGCUCUGUCCUAUAGGGUCACUAUGAGUUGAAAUUAACUCGACUGCACUGGGUUUUUUUUUUU